RNAcentral lists this ribosomal RNA (470 nucleotides) under uncultured organism. Its description in RNAcentral is "partial 16S ribosomal RNA". It matches the Rfam family "Bacterial small subunit ribosomal RNA", at positions 330 to 797 of the family's 1533-position model. The record is from RNAcentral.
CGUACACUCCUACGGGAGGCAGCAGUGAGGAAUAUUGGACAAUGGGUGGAAGCCUGAUCCAGCCAUCCCGCGUGCAGGAAGACGGCCCUAUGGGUUGUAAACUGCUUUUAUCUGGGGAUAAACCUACUUACGUGUAAGUAGCUGAAGGUACCAGAAGAAUAAGCACCGGCUAACUCCGUGCCAGCAGCCGCGGUAAUACGGAGGGUGCAAGCGUUAUCCGGAUUUAUUGGGUUUAAAGGGUCCGUAGGCGGACUGAUAAGUCAGUGGUGAAAUCCGACAGCUUAACUGUCGAACUGCCAUUGAUACUGUUAGUCUUGAGUAAGGUUGAAGUGGCUGGAAUAAGUAGUGUAGCGGUGAAAUGCAUAGAUAUUACUUAGAACACCAAUUGCGAAGGCAGGUCACUAAGUCUUAACUGACGCUGAUGGACGAAAGCGUGGGGAGCGAACAGGAUUAGAAACCCGAGUAGUCCC